AACGAACGCUGGCGGCAGGCCUAACACAUGCAAGUCGAGCGAAGCCUUCGGGCUUAGCGGCGGACGGGUGAGUAACGCGUGGGAACGUGCCCUUUGGUACGUAAUAGCCCCGGGAAACUGGGAGUAAUACCGUAUGUGCCCUUCGGGGGAAAGAUUUAUAGCCAAAGGAGCGGCACGCGUUGGAUUAGGUAGUUGGUGGGGUAAUGGCCUACCAAGCCGCCGAUCCAUAGCUGGUUUGAGAGGAUGAUCAGCCACACUGUGACUGAGACACGGCACAGACGCCUACGGGAGGCAGCGGUGGGGAAGCUUAGACAAGGGGGGAAGCCGUGAGCUAGCCAUGCCGCGUGUUCGCUGAAGGCCUUAGGGUUGUAAAGAUCUUUCAGUGGGGACGAUAAUGACUGUACCCACAGAACAAGCCCCGACUACCUCCGUGCCAGCCGUCGCCGUAA
Molecule: ribosomal RNA, 449 nt
Filed under: uncultured bacterium
Lineage: Bacteria
Description: partial 16S ribosomal RNA
Rfam family: Bacterial small subunit ribosomal RNA
Source: RNAcentral